UACGUAGGGGGCAAGCGUUGUCCGGAAUCAUUGGGCGUAAAGAGCUCGUAGGCGGCUUGUCACGUCGGGUGUGAAAGCCCGGGGCUUAACCCCGGGUCUGCAUUCGAUACGGGCAGGCUAGAGUGUGGUAGGGGAGAUCGGAAUUCCUGGUGUAGCGGUGAAAUGCGCAGAUAUCAGGAGGAACACCGGUGGCGAAGGCGGAUCUCUGGGCCAUUACUGACGCUGAGGAGCGAAAGCGUGGGGAGCGAACAGG
This 253-nucleotide ribosomal RNA is filed under the name uncultured bacterium. RNAcentral describes it as "partial 16S ribosomal RNA". It matches the Rfam family "Bacterial small subunit ribosomal RNA", at positions 524 to 776 of the family's 1533-position model. The record is from RNAcentral.